Molecule: long non-coding RNA, 1176 nt
Organism: Helianthus annuus (common sunflower)
Lineage: Eukaryota; Viridiplantae; Streptophyta; Magnoliopsida; Asterales; Asteraceae
Exons: 2
Source: RefSeq, a predicted model, not a curated record
UUAUUUAACUUAGUUAACUCUAUUAAGUUAUCUAAUUUAUUUACCUUACUAAACUUUUUUAUAUAUGUAACUUAUCUAACUUAUUUAUUUAUACAACUUAGUUAACUCUGUAACAAAGUCAACGUAUCUUAUUUAUUUAUAUAUUAUGUUUUUUGUUAUUGCAUACUAACCCAUGAAACCUAGUGCGUUGUAGUUUACGCUACACUAGGUUGUGGGCUUGUAGAGACAACCCCUAACUGAGCGUGGCUCAUUGAGAUUAGGGUUGCCCAUGUCUCCUAUAUAAGGAGGUUUUCACCUCGUUAUAAGGGCAAGAGACACGUGGCAAACACACUUUUUGUUGCUGGAAAUAGAGGAUUCUUCCUCUACUGGCCGUCUCUACAUCCCCACUUUUCUCUAUUCUCCAUUGCAGAUCUGGAUUCAAGAGGAAGAGCAAGGUGUGGUUCUCCAUCCUCUUAGAGAAAGCGGUUCCAAUCACCCUGGCGGUGAUUCCGUGUUUCUUCAAGUUUUGUUUUGGAUUUUCAAAAUUAGUGAAGAAAUUAGUCAGAUGGGUAGUAAGUAUUUGAAUUAUGCACUGCUACAUAUAAUAUGUUUCUUUCAGUUUUGCAGCAUCUCACAGAUUAAAAUCAAGGGUUUUAUAAGAAUUAUUAUUUCUGGUUGGCUGUAAAACACCAGACAGGAAAAUCAAUAAUCUGGUCUUGGUCGAAACACAAGCACUUCUCUGCACCUCUGGCCACCGACAUACACCAGCAGUCCGGUAUUAUCAAUUGUUGCAGUCCGGUUAACUCAGAAUGGUUUAUGAGCUGUUGAAUAAGAACUUGCUGAUGAGGAUGUAUGGGGUUGUUGGAUGCUGAAUGCUGGUGAAGACUUAAAGACUGAAGAUGUUUGUUUAAGUAGUAUAGUUUUUUUUUUUUUGUGAUUGUUUCGUAUGGAUAUUAAGUGGUUAGUUUUUAUGUUUGGUUUGCUUGGGCCGUUUGUGGUUUCAAAGCUUUGGUUUGUGUUUUGGGAUUGUUUAGAGUGGCUUAGGCUGGGAUUUUUAGAUCCCAUUUUGUUAGGCCUUAGUCAGUUGUGGAUUGGUCUUCUCAUUCGGGUAUAUCUCCAGAGACCCAAUGCUCUUUAGGUGUACAUUUUUUAUUUUAUCAAUAAAGUUUUGCCGGGGUACCGUCCCCUUUAACCAAA